Molecule: long non-coding RNA, 610 nt
Filed under: Eutrema salsugineum
Lineage: Eukaryota; Viridiplantae; Streptophyta; Magnoliopsida; Brassicales; Brassicaceae
Description: long non-coding RNA (ESAL_LNC000146)
Source: RNAcentral
AGACACACAACCAUCUAAGUGGUUUUUAUUUAAACAACACGUCUUAUUAAUUACUUAACAUAUAUAGUCUCCCUUAGAAGCAUCAGAUUGUGAAAGCAUUUGAUUUAGUCGCUGUCGCUAUCGCUGCUGCUUCCACUCUCAUUGCCGCUGCCAUGCCCAUCCUUGCUCUUCUUCUUCUUCUUGUGCUCAUUUUGCUUCUUAUGCUUCUUCUCUCCAUUGUUAAUGAACAUUCCUAGACCAUUAGUAACUUUGUUUGUCUCAUGAGUUUUCUUCUGGUGAUGUCCUAAGAGCUUUCCAUGUCCAUGGUCCUUGUUAGGCUCUUGGCUAUUGUGUUGCCCUAGAAACGCCCCUAGACCAGUCUGACCCUUCUGGCCAUUUUUACCCUUGAACAGCCCAUCAAGAAACCCACCGUGGCUACGGUGGUUCAUAGUCGGGCUAUUUCCAUAUACUGGGCGGCUCUGGAUCAGACCAUGACCCUGGUGGUUCUGGCCAUGUCCCUGGUGGCUCUGGUCAUAGCCUGGACGGCUCUGGACUUGAGUCACAUCGUAGUAUUCUUUUUCACGUGUUUCGUAGUACUGCAUGGUGGUAUAUAGAAGCGGUGAGUUUUAUG